This 294-nucleotide ribosomal RNA is filed under the name uncultured bacterium. Its description in RNAcentral is "partial 16S ribosomal RNA". It matches the Rfam family "Bacterial small subunit ribosomal RNA", at positions 775 to 1067 of the family's 1533-position model. The record is from RNAcentral.
GGAUUAGAUACCCUGGUAGUCCACGCCCUAAACGAUGUCAGCUGAUUGUUCGGAAAGCAAUUUCUGGGUAACCAAGCCAACGCGUGAAGCUGACCGCCUGGGAAGUACGGUCGCAAGAUUAAAACUCAAAGGAAUUGACGGGGACCCGCACAAGCGGUGGAUGAUGUGGAUUAAUUCGACGCAACGCGAAAAACCUUACCUAGCCUUGACAUGUCAGGAAUCCGGAUGAAAGUCUGGAGUGCCCGCAAGGGAGCCUGAACACAGGUGCUGCAUGGCUGUCGUCAGCUCGUGCCG